This is a long non-coding RNA of Corvus hawaiiensis (hawaiian crow), 1586 nucleotides long. RefSeq lists it as uncharacterized. The transcript has 2 exons. Lineage: Eukaryota; Metazoa; Chordata; Aves; Passeriformes; Corvidae. The record is from RefSeq and is a predicted model, not a curated record.
UGGCUGCAGGCUGCAUGAUGACCUGCCAAGGGCACCUCAAAACGUCUGUCUUUACCAUGUGCUGCCACGAGGCAGGAGCCAGCAGAGCGCUUGAAUGCACAGCACAGGUCCUGCUGCCAGCACAGGAGAGCAUCUUUCAUGCUCUAGAUCAGCAUCUCUGUGGGCUCAUUGUUCCCUGCUCUCAUGCCACUUGGAUUUUGUGGCAGCUUUUGAGGCUAGAAUUCCAAUUGCACUCUAACAUGCUAGAAAGCCUCCAAAAUCAUGUAGGAAGCAGGUAAAAAAGUACUUCAUGAGCUGCCUGGCUUCUGGACUCUCCACUGGUUACUUUUUCUUAGUUUACUCUGGUACAGCAUUUCCUAGUUCCAUUUUCGAAAUGGUAUUUCCUCACUGUCCUGCUCCUCAUUUUUUUCUUAACUGGUGUUAUUCCACAGAAGACUGCAAGCAAACCAGUACACCUUGGCAUUCCUCAACCUUCCUGCUUGCUUGCUGGUUGAAAACUCCAUUGCUUGAUUACUUCUAGCACUCUACACAUUUUUAAUGAUACCCAUAAAAAAAGCAGCCCUUUGUAAAGACCAUAAACCCCAUAAAAAAUGGAGUGCUCUGCACAUUUUCCAUUACUCCUGAGUAGAGGUUAUUUACCCUGUCCAAAGGCAUUCUGCAGAUCAAUAAAACUCCUCCUUUACUUAGAUGUUCAGGCAUUUCAUGCUGACUGAUUAUGUCCCUCUCAACUGAAGACAAACUGUGAAGCAGCUCACAUUAAACCAGAAAUACAAGGAGAUCCAAAACUUUCCUGCUAAACUAAUCCUGCUGGGGAUCCCACUCAAAGGAACCAUUUCCCUCUGAAAUGGCACAGUCAUUUUUACCUGUGGUAAGGAAUUACACUACUACUCAAUCAGGAUUGCAUGGCAUCCCCCUGCAUGGUUUUAGAGGACCAUGUAAGGACCAACACAAGGGAGAAACUGACCCACACUUGCAGGGUGCUUCAGCUGCUGAAACAGGACACGGAUCCCACAGAAGAGCCCAGCUCAUGAAAGGCAAGAGCUCUCAUCCUACACGGCUCUGAACACAAGUGCACAGAGGACUCGAGCAGCACGAGGACAGCAGGGUGAGCAGGCCCUGGCUACUGCCUGGGAGCACAUCGUGUUCCACAGCAAGACACAAAGGCUGACUUCCUGCAUUCCUCUCAGCACCCUCAGAGGGCUCCUGCAGCCAUCUGCAAGCUGGGUCUGCUCGUAGAGCCUGAGGAGACACGAGUCAGCGGCAGUAUUUAUGAAAGCACACACACCACCCUGCCCCCAGAAUGGGAUCUGCUCUUCAGAACUCUCAGCAGGCCAUCUCCUGGGAACUGGACACUUCAUGCCACAGGACGCUGAGCAGCAGCCCGAAGUGUAGCUGUAGAGAGGGAGUCUAAAGAUCAUGAUGAUCACCAUGGUUGUGGCUAAUUUUCCUAAAGCCUGAUCCCAGGAGGAGCAUCAUGUCCAUUCCACCCAAACACUGCACAAAGGGUUGUGCACCUUUGCAGACUUCCAGAUGAAGACCUGACAGAUCCCAACAGAACUGAGGGUAUAAACCUGGUUAUACUGUGA